RNAcentral lists this transfer RNA (79 nucleotides) under Betaproteobacteria bacterium. Its description in RNAcentral is "tRNA-OTHER". It matches the Rfam family "tRNA". Rfam says of the family: Transfer RNA (tRNA) molecules are approximately 80 nucleotides in length. The record is from RNAcentral. Lineage: Bacteria; Pseudomonadati; Pseudomonadota; Betaproteobacteria.
CGGUGGGUAGCUCAGUAGGUAGAGCACCAAGGCGAACCGCCUCAUGUGGUCGCUGGUUCGAAUCCAGCCUCACCGGCCA